This is a non-coding RNA of Ceratotherium simum simum (southern white rhinoceros), 88 nucleotides long. Lineage: Eukaryota; Metazoa; Chordata; Mammalia; Perissodactyla; Rhinocerotidae. The record is from RefSeq and is a predicted model, not a curated record.
GAAAUGUUUGCCUACCCCAAAGUCAGAAAGAUAUUCUGUUAUGUUUUCUUCUAGAAGCUUUUAAUUUCAGUUUUUAUGAUGAGAUUUA